Pan troglodytes (chimpanzee) is the source of this 1813-nucleotide RNA transcript. It is a transcript of the gene named breast carcinoma-amplified sequence 4-like, with no coding region annotated. The transcript has 12 exons. The record is from RefSeq and is a predicted model, not a curated record. NCBI's taxonomy places the organism in Eukaryota, Metazoa, Chordata, Mammalia, Primates, Hominidae.
AAAGGGAAGAAAGGACAGCCCCAACACCUGGAGCCGUUGUGGCUCCGGCCGGUUGCGCCGGCCCUCGGGCCCUCAGGGAGGCGAGGGUGCGAGGGCAGAGGAGUCCCUCCCUGUGUCCACCACCAUCACAAGCCCAAGGCAAGUACUGCUAGAGGGCUGCCUAUGAUCAGAUCUUCUGAGAACAUCAGAGAAAGACUGUCCUUGCAAUCUACACUACAGCAAAACUUCAGGACCUUGAACUUCAGGUUCAUAAUCUCACAACUGAGAAGGAUCCUUCCACACUCUUGGAACAGUGCACCCAUUGGAACUCUGAAGGUUAAGCUCACCAGGAAAGUUUCUCUCCAGAAGAAGAUAACACCCUUAAUGUGAACAGCUUUUCCCAAAAUCACGGAUUGAAACUUCUCUACAAUCACAAGACUCUUAUCUUUGAAUAUUUUCCCUUGGUUAUGCUUCUGUGAACAAUAGACGUGAAAAGGGAGUCUGUUGUGUGCACUUACGGGGCACACUUUUAUGUGUGAAGGAUUUUUCAGCCAGCCUUAUAUAUGGAUGACCUUAUAGUUUAAGAGAUAAAAGACAAAGACCCAAUGCAGUGUAUUUUUUAUUCUGUGUUCAAAGAUCACCAAUGAGAUUCCCAGUUGCCAAAUCCAAUCUUUAGUUUUCAUCUUAGUUCCUCUGAGCAACAUCUGAAAAAGAUGGGCUGGAUUUGAUGACUUUCUUCUAUCAAAUAGAAUAUGACAGAAGUGAUGACUAACAAAAUGAUAUUUGUGUCCAGAACCAGUUAAAGAGCUGUGGCAGUUCUAAGAAACCUGGACCCCCACCAAGCAGUCCACCAGCAUGUAGACCUCAGGAAAGAGAGAAGAACUUUCUGAACUUUCUGAAGAAGCGACAGUUGAUCUGUAGUCUGCUUAUCAGAUACUAUGCUAAGAAAAGAAUCAUAUUUUCUGCAUAAAAAGAAAGGAGAAUGGUUUGAAAAUGGUAAUGAGGAGAAAGAAUGACACUGACACCAGCUCCAGGUCCCAUGGAAUGAAAUCUAUGGUGGCAGAUUGGUACCAGUCCGUGGCCUGUUAGGAACCUGGCUGCACAGCAGGAGGUGAGUGGCAGAGACCCAGCAUUACUGCCUGAGCUCCGGUUCCUGUCAGAUCAGCGGCAACAUUAGAUUCUCACAGGAGCCCGAACCCUACUGUGAACUGAACAUGCGAGGAAUCUAGGAUCUCAUGGCCUUUGUUGACAAUGUGAAUAAACCUUCCAAACAUGCACACAGUUAAUCAUCUAUGAAAUUUUUUUUUUUAAGUGGCUGCAUAAGAAAUGUUAUAUUAUGUCGUCUGGACAUGGUAGCUCACAUCUGUAAUCCCAGCACUUUGGAAGGCUAAGUUUCUUGUUCUGUCACCCAGGCUGGAGUGUAGUGGUGUGAUCCUAGCUCACGGCAGCCUUGAAUUCCCAGGAUCAAGUGAUUCUCCCACCUCAGCUUCUGGAGUAGCCGGGAAUACAGUGUGCACGCUUAAGACCACUCGCCCAACUCCUGAGAUCUCAUCAGGAAGCUGCUGAUCACCAACCUCAGGUAUUUUCCAUCUAUUGUGAGACUGCUUUUUCCUGGCACUGGCUACAAGCAAGUAGUCUUUAGAGACACAAUUUAUCAACCAACUGACCAUCACCUGAUGGUUACCUGACAUACCUGUGGGUGAUGAGGGAGGCCCUCUCCUGCCUUGCACAUGUCUGCCUGGCUACCUACUCUAACAAUCCCACUUUUCUCAUACAAUUAAUAUAUAGAAUUGUUUUUCUUAUAUUUAUAAUCUCAAUUACAUAUAUUAAUUUU